RNAcentral lists this unclassified non-coding RNA (383 nucleotides) under Hevea brasiliensis (rubber tree). The record is from RNAcentral. Lineage: Eukaryota; Viridiplantae; Streptophyta; Magnoliopsida; Malpighiales; Euphorbiaceae.
GAGACCUUACAUGAAUGUCAUAGACAAGAUGCUGAGUCAGAUGCUUAGCGAAGACCCCUCUUUUAAACCACAAGGGGGGAAUUUAGGAGAAAAUGAUAUGGAUUAUGACACUGAUGCAAAAACAAUGGCUGCACUUAGACGUCAGCUCGAGAUAGCUCGAGAGAAAUACUACCGAUACAAAAGCGAGUAUAUGAAUUUUGUAACUCAAGCACUUGAGCUGGAAGAUACCAUAAAGAACUUUGAGCACCGUAGUGGCACUGGAUGGAAAUACGUAUCAAGCUUCCGGCCUGAAAGAAGUGGAAGAUUAGGGUCUAUGCUGGACACGACAGGUGACCGUCAGAUUUUUUUUGUUCAUUCUGUAAGAUGGGCUUUCUCAAGUUCUG